Non-coding RNA from Vicugna pacos (alpaca), 248 nucleotides. Lineage: Eukaryota; Metazoa; Chordata; Mammalia; Artiodactyla; Camelidae. The record is from RefSeq and is a predicted model, not a curated record.
UUCAUAUAAAUGGAAUCAUAAGUAUGCAAUCAUGUGAUUGUCUUCUUUAACUUAUGUUUCAAGGUUCAUCCAUGUUGUAGGGUGUGUGGAUGUGUAAGUACUUCAUUUCCUUUUAUGGCAGAAUAAUAUUUCAUUGUAUGAAUAGUCCACUUUUUUAUCAAUUCAUUAGCUGAUGGACAUUUGGAUUAUUUCUACUUAUGAGUUAAUUUUUAAUUGUUAAUUAAAAAUUGACUUCUGUUAAAGGAAAA